RNAcentral lists this ribosomal RNA (205 nucleotides) under uncultured bacterium. RNAcentral describes it as "partial 16S ribosomal RNA". It matches the Rfam family "Bacterial small subunit ribosomal RNA", at positions 28 to 240 of the family's 1533-position model. The record is from RNAcentral.
GAUUAACGCUGGCGGCGUGCCUAACACAUGCAAGUCGAACGAGGUAGCAAUACCUAGUGGCAGACGGGUGAGUAACGCGUGGUCAACCUACCGUUGAGUGGGGGAGUAACUAGCCGAAGGUUAGCUAAUACGCAUACGAGACUCGGGGGCGAUCCCUCGGGUCGUUAAAAGGAAGCAAUCCGCUCGAUGACGGGACCGCGUCCCA